Molecule: long non-coding RNA, 874 nt
Organism: Raphanus sativus (radish)
Lineage: Eukaryota; Viridiplantae; Streptophyta; Magnoliopsida; Brassicales; Brassicaceae
Exons: 4
Source: RefSeq, a predicted model, not a curated record
ACCUUAUUUAUAUUGAUUACUUGCGCAAGUCUCGCAUCAUAUAAUAUGCAUAUUCGUUUUUAAUUUUACAAAUUUAUUAUGUUUCCUUUAAUCAAACGUCAUUUAAUUUACAUACCUUAUUAUAACCAAUUACUUGCGCAAGUCUCGCAAGUAAUAUUAUUUGCGUCGUUAAUACUCUUCACCAUCAAAGGACUAUAUAUAGAGUACAAAGUGGCGAUGAAGCAACAUAACCAUUCUUCUAUUUUUAUAUAUACAUAUUUUAUCGGAGCUGACUUUUCUUUUGGUUUAUAUGCAGAUACCCUAUUCUAACGAUUUCACCGCGAUGCAGCGAAGAAUAUGACACAAAAGCUGAUGUUUUCUCCUUUGCUUUGAUCGUUCAAGAGAUGAUAGAAGGACGAAUGCCAUUUGCUGAAAAGGAAGACAGUGAAGCUUCAGAAGCUUAUGCCAGCAAAGAGCGGCCACUGUUCAAAGCUCCAUCAAAUUGCUUUACCCUCAUGGACUUAAAACGUUGAUAGAAGAAUGCUGGCAAAAUAAACCAGCCAAGCGACCUACUUUCAGAGAGAUCAUUAAACGGCUCGAGUCUAUUCUUCAUCAUAUGGGUCACAAACGACAAUGGGGGAUGAGGCCGUUGACUUGCUUUCAGAAUUUCGAGCACAAGAAGAAACAUAACUGGGAUAUGAGCAGCCAUGACGGCUCAUCAUCCGGUUCACAUUUGUGAUUCUUUAACCGGUUCAAAAAUGAUUUUUUUUUCUAUUCCCUCCGGUUUAGUUUGGUCUUCCCCCUAAAGAACCGAAUCUUAUUUUGUCAUUUUGUUCUUCACUGAUGAAAGUCCGUGUGGUCAAAAUCUGGCAUUUUAUCUAUUUAUAAAAUUUGU